RNAcentral lists this non-coding RNA (28 nucleotides) under Homo sapiens (human). The record is from RNAcentral. Lineage: Eukaryota; Metazoa; Chordata; Mammalia; Primates; Hominidae.
UGGUCAGAACAACAGGUCUUUGCGGCCA